AUGAGCAGCAGUACAAACUCCACAAUGCCCAAUCUCGUCUGAUCUCAUAAACUAAGCGGGGUUAGACCUGGUUAGUCCUGGGAUGGGAGACCUCUAAGAAUACAGUGAGCAGAGGUGGCUCUAA
Molecule: ribosomal RNA, 124 nt
Filed under: Periophthalmus magnuspinnatus
Lineage: Eukaryota; Metazoa; Chordata; Actinopteri; Gobiiformes; Gobiidae
Source: RNAcentral